GACGUGACUUCAGAGUUUGAUCCUGGCUCAGGAUGAACGCUGGCGGCGUGCCUAACACAUGCAAGUCGAACGAAGCGCUUUGAAGUUUUCGGACAGAUGAGUGACUGAGUGGCGGACGGGUGAGUAACGCGUGGGUAACCUGCCUCAUACAGGGGGAUAACAGUUAGAAAUGACUGCUAAUACCGCAUAAGCGCACAGUACCGCAUGGUACAGUGUGAAAAACUCCGGUGGUAUGAGAUGGACCUGCGUCUGAUUAGCUAGUUGGUGAGGUAACGGCCCACCAAGGCGACGAUCAGUAGCCGACCUGAGAGGGUGACCGGCCACAUUGGGACUGAGACACGGCCCAA
Molecule: ribosomal RNA, 347 nt
Filed under: uncultured bacterium
Lineage: Bacteria
Description: bacterial SSU rRNA
Rfam family: Bacterial small subunit ribosomal RNA
Source: RNAcentral